CUCUGAUUGAACGUAUUUGCUUCAUAUUUGAAUUAUAUUUAAUUGCUCUGACAUUGUACUUUUCGGCUUGGAACACUGAACAUAAUGAAAGAAAAGAUAUUGACUCGAAAUAGAUUCAGAUUUGCAGUCAGGCUAUGUUGAGGACCCUGCCAAUGGGGGCUAAUACAUUGGUACCGCAAGAAGAAUAGUCGGUGAUAUGACCCUGUCACAGGGAACAUGUGGCCAUAGUCCUAGCUGUUGAGUUGAAUCUGAUAAAUUGAAAUAAAAUAAGAUAUGAACAAUAUUUGGAUUUGACACUGCAUGUUUUCAUGAUUGAAUUUAUGAAAUAGAAAAAUAAUUGAACUUCGAUCUGGCUAUGUUGAGGAC
RNAcentral lists this long non-coding RNA (366 nucleotides) under Phoenix dactylifera (date palm). RNAcentral's name for it is "long non-coding RNA (PDAC_LNC019035)". Lineage: Eukaryota; Viridiplantae; Streptophyta; Magnoliopsida; Arecales; Arecaceae. The record is from RNAcentral.